This 684-nucleotide ribosomal RNA is filed under the name Triticum aestivum (bread wheat). Its description in RNAcentral is "partial small subunit ribosomal RNA". The record is from RNAcentral. Lineage: Eukaryota; Viridiplantae; Streptophyta; Magnoliopsida; Poales; Poaceae.
AUGGAGGAGGAGCAGAGGAAGCGGGACUAUGAAUGCCUUCAAGGCCUAGAAGCAAGUCAAGCGGAAUUGGUAGUCAAAUUCCAGCGGCAGCAGGAGCAGAUCGACUCACUUACCCAGCAAAGGGGGUCUCAGCAGCUGCAGCAGCUAGCGAAUGAUCCAGCAUUGGAUAGCACCGCCCCAUCCAUGCCGCGAAGCAGCGUGGGUUCCACCCCGGACGAUGCAAUGCUGGGUAGAUACCCCGUGGAUGACAUCACGGAGAACACUAGCUGUGAGCUACACGUCAAAAUGAAGAACAUAUCCAUGAAGGUGGCGGACGCCGUUGCUUUUACAAAUGCCCCCGAGGCAACCUUCCAUUGCAACCCGAUUCCAGCGGGCUAUGCUCGUGUCUUGGUUGAUGAGGUGGUGGACCCAUAUUCGGAGCUAGAACUUGACUAUCCUGGAGGUGACGACGAGCGCUUUCUCGGAGACGCCAAACAUCAUAUCAUCCUAUGGAAAAAGGAUUGCAUCAUCAUUCGAAGGCCACCGACACCGCGUCAGCCGACUCCUCGUCGAAGUCUGCCACCGAGUCAGCAGUCUCCCGCUCCUGCAAGUCCACCAAGUCCGGCAAAGUGUCAGGCCAAUCCUCCUCCAAGUCCGGCAAAGUGUCAGGCCACUCCUCCUCCUCCAAGUCCGCCACAGCGUUAG